GGAAGUCUCCAUGGCUCAGUGGUAGAGCCCAUGCUUUGCGGGCGAAAGGAUCCUGUUUCAAUUCCUGGGAUCUCCA
Podarcis lilfordi (Lilford's wall lizard) is the source of this 76-nucleotide non-coding RNA. The record is from the annotation of a GenBank genome assembly. NCBI's taxonomy places the organism in Eukaryota, Metazoa, Chordata, Lepidosauria, Squamata, Lacertidae.